CUGGCAUGUUAAGAUCUCUUAGAU
RNAcentral lists this non-coding RNA (24 nucleotides) under Arabidopsis thaliana (thale cress). Lineage: Eukaryota; Viridiplantae; Streptophyta; Magnoliopsida; Brassicales; Brassicaceae. The record is from RNAcentral.